AUCCGAAUUACUGGGCGUAAAGCGUGCGUAGGCGGCUGGUUAAGUCGGAUGUGAAAGCCCCGGGCUUAACCUGGGAACUGCAUUUGAUACUGGCCGGCUAGAGUUUAGUAGAGGGAGAGUGGAAUUUCAGGUGUAGCGGUGAAAUGCGUAGAGAUCUGAAGGAACACCAGUGGCGAAGGCGACUCUCUGGACUGAAACUGACGCUGAGGUACGAAAGCGUGGGUAGCAAACAGGAUUAGAUACCCUGGUAGUCCACGCCGUAAACGAUGUCAACUAGCCGUUGGGCCUUUUAACAGGCUUAGUGGCGCAGCUAACGCAUUAAGUUGACCGCCUGGGGAGUACGGCCGCAAGGUUAAAACUCAAAUGAAUUGACGGGGGCCCGCACAAGCGGUGGAGCAUGUGGUUUAAUUCGAUGCAACGCGAAGAACCUUACCUACCCUUGACAUGCAUAGAAUC
Molecule: ribosomal RNA, 456 nt
Filed under: uncultured methanotrophic bacterium
Lineage: Bacteria
Description: bacterial SSU rRNA
Rfam family: Bacterial small subunit ribosomal RNA
Source: RNAcentral